AUGAGUUACACAAUUAUAAGAGUCGCACAAAUAAACAGGUCACAGAUGCACAGUUAAAAAGAUACGAAAAUACUUCGUACGAUUGGUGGAUCACUGUUGUAGGUGAGAAGUUGGGAUAUGAUAGGAUAUAGAGGGUAAUUUAAUGUAUAUCCGUACCAAAAGAUUAAUUAUCGCUAACGAAAAAACGAUUUUGAAUGGAGUUCGGUUAUACAUGUUAUGAAAGGCCGUAAUAUUUAUGAUUUGAAAAUAAUACAUUUCGUACAUUUUCCCGUUUUUCCUAUAUUUUUCCUGGUUUUUCCUGUUUAUUAUGAAAAUUUCUGAGAAAAUAAAAAUUCAAAAUAAAUAAUAGUACCCAGCUUUCAUUUUUAUUGCUUGUUCACUAUUAAAGAAUAUUUGAACACUUUGCUUAUGCAGUUAUAUUUAAGCUAUGUUUUUCAGUGCGUGAACUUACAACUAAGCCCGGGUGGUAAAUGGUAAUGGGUAUAAUUACACUGCGAUACUGUUAUAUUAUAUUUGCUGGAUUUUUUUUUAUAACCAUGUUAUAGUAUUAAUAUGUGUAGCCUACAGGUUAUUAAUUUUUAGGACAACACGUGCGAUAAAAAUAUCUAUGUAUACAGUCUAUACUUUGGUCCACACUAAUCGUAUAAAAAUAAAUAAUGUGACAAUUAUCAACACAAAUGUAAACAAUGAAUUGUAAAAAAAAGAGACGGACGAGUCAGGAAGUUUUUCACGUUUCAAUCAACCUUAUAUAGCUGGUAUAAUCUGUGUGAUCCGGCGAAAAAACGGAUUGCCCUCGGAUUUCCCGAACCAACCGAGAAAAUCCGCUGUCGUCAUCAUGGUCGGGUACCUACCUAUAUGUACCUGUGGUUUCGCACACGUCAAGUGACGUGAUUGCGUGAAAUCACUCGAUUUUCCAUGGUGUAUAAGUGACAAGUGUGUGUGUUCACUGUAUACACACUGCGGCGCUAUAACGUUUGAAUAAUUCCAUGCGGGCGAGUACGACUCCACGAAAGAUUAUAUUAUUUAUUGCGACACAAUAUACCUGCACUACUAUCAUUAUAGAAGGUAUAUUUACCGUUUUUCCAUUAGCAACGAGGAGAAACAUACAAAUAAAAAACAGUACAUAGUGUACAGAGUGAUUCGCGAAAGUGCAAUAAUUAUAUAAAAAGGAGAAUUUUGAGUAAAUUUGAUUUCGUUUUUUUUUCCAAUCAUUAUUAAAUUGUAUAGAAUAUCGUGUAAAUCAUCUUAUUUUCAAUAUUUCAGAAAGUUAUACUUAUUUUACAUGCCCGUCAAUAUAUAUAUCUGUGUAUAUACAUAUAUAACUACUAGGUAAUGAUUUCUCAGAGAACCCACAUUUUUAAACUAUGAUUCGAAAAGUGGAAUUUACUUAACUUGUAUAAUACAUUUUGACACGCAUGUUAUGAUAUUUGUAUUUAUCGUUCAGUUUAUGAGUUAUAAAAAAGUUUUGAAUCUUAUAUGUACACAAUUUUAAUUCAAUCAAACCGCUAUACACUUUUACAGUAUUAUUCCGACCUUGACGAAACUUUGCACAUUUAACAUUCAAAAGGUUAUUAUAUUAUUUAAUUCGAUUCUCAUAAUAGACAAGGAAAUACCCUUUUUAAAAGAUAAAUUACUGUAUAACAACGAUUUACUGGGAUAAAGAUGGAAAGGUGGAAACACGUUAAAUUUAUUAUUUUUUUAUUAAUUUCUAUUUUUGAAAUAUUUGUGCCCAAAAAAUAUCGAGCAAUUCAGUUGUUAACUAUACAUAUGGAUAUGAACUUGACUAUUACCUUUCCCUCCUUUAUAAUCGUCCAAUCUAAAUUUGAACUAUUAAAUGUUUAAUCAUUAACUUACAAACUGUUCAUUUGAUAUUAAAUAUUUUGUGCACAAUUGACAUAUAUUGAUAAAUAUUCGUAUUUUGAAUACAAGUUUCAAAAUUAGCUGGGUUGUGUUGAACUGUAUAUACAUAUCCAGAAAAAGAAAAAGAAUGUUGAAAAUAUUGAAAAACGAUACAGUUGAAUUUUAAUAUCAUUAUAUUUUUCUGUAAUGGAAUUAUAACAAAAAAAAAGAGCUAAUACUGGGGAUGGGAGCGGCCACUGUUGUAGGUGAAGUUGGGAAGGUAGGAUAUAUAAGGUUAUUUUAUCUAUAUCUGUAAGUAACGAUAAACCAUUGCUUGUUUGACGAAAGACAAUCCCGAGCGCAGUUCAGUAAUAUAUAAUUUGAAGUGCCAUAUUUUUUUUGCGAUUUUCGUUUAAAUUUGAUUUCAAAACGCUUAUUAAAAAAAGAAAUUCGUCCGAUUAUUUAGGAAAUGUUACCACGUCUAAGUAAAUCUAAUAUAUGUAUUAUUACCAAUUUUCAAGUCUUUAUAUGUAUUUAUUAUCAAAUAACAACAAAAACAUCCAAAAUUAAAAUUCCUUAAAAGCUCAAAAGUGGUUCAAAAAUUAUGAUUAUAUUACUGUAAGAUAGUAAAUUUAAAAGGCAACAAAAUAAGUAGCUUUUAAUUUUUUGAUUAAAUAAUUUUUUCUGGUAGAAAACGUCGUCUGUGUUUAUAAAACACAUAAUGAAAUCGUGAAAUUGUACGUUAUCCAAUGUUUUUUUUCCCCACUUAAGUGCUUUUAUUUAAAAAAUGGAGUUGAAAAUCAAAAAAACUUCUCUAUAGUGUAUCAUCCAGAAAAUUUGAGCUUUCAAAAAAGUUGCUUCAUGUAGAAAUUGGAGCAAGUUUACUAGGAAAAAACGCGUUCAUAGAUUAGAAAAAAAAGAAAUAAACAUCUUGGUAAAACCAAUAGCUCCUUCAUUACUCUCGGAAUCUAAAAGGAAAUUAAAUUAAAUGUAUAGGUUUAUUAAAAAUCUUCAUAAGUA
Molecule: long non-coding RNA, 2859 nt
Filed under: Cinara cedri
Lineage: Eukaryota; Metazoa; Arthropoda; Insecta; Hemiptera; Aphididae
Source: RNAcentral